This 115-nucleotide ribosomal RNA is filed under the name Bacteroidota bacterium. The record is from RNAcentral. RNAcentral also lists the same sequence under 1 other name. Lineage: Bacteria; Pseudomonadati; Bacteroidota.
UCUGGUGAUUAAAUACAGGGGCUACACCUCUUCCCAUUCCGAACAGAGAAGUUAAGGCCUGUAUCACUGAUGGUACUGCAUGGGAAGCUGUGCGGGAGAGUAGGUUUUACCAGAA